GCCUGGCUGGAAGAAUUAUUGGACUCAGAAUCUCUAUUCAUACUUAGUAUUAUCGGCGAGAGCUCCGACUAGUGAAAAGUAGCUGACGGACGAAAGACCUUAGGAUGUGCCCAGGUACAGGGUAACCGAAAAAUUCUUCAUAGGCAAGAGCAAGCUCUCGAAUAUAGCACGCCAUAUCUACCUGUAAAUUUGGAUCUACUCGUUCUAAAACUCUUGAAAUGCAGUCUUUUUUCAUCUUCACAUCAUUGGUCAGAGGUAUACCCUUGAUCCCGCGUGUUUCCAAUGGAUAAGGAUCUUCUGGUGCCUCGAUUUUCGACAUUUGGAACUCUCCUAACCCAGGUAUAUGUACUAAACCAUUUACCGACAGUGGCAUUCCGCGUAGGUAGCCUGUCACUUCCAAGGUACCAUAAUUGUUAAAAGCGUCCUAUUGAACAGUAAUGGAAUAACUUUAAUUUUGCCUCGGGAGAUCCUAAGAAGCUAUAAUCAUACCAUGUUUUAUCAACAGCAACGUAUUUUUGUCAGUGCCAUGAAAACUAAAAUUUGGAAAGAAAGCCAUAUUUUCGUAGAAUCACUAUCCACUUUAAAUUGUAUCUAAAGAAUCCAUUGAUUAUUUCCUACAGUCUGCGAAUUCCCAUAACAUAAGUGAAUGUUAUUAAAUGAAAUGAUUGAUUUAUUUAAAGCUGUUGCUCCUCCGGCUGUCACUAGAAUAUUUUUAAUACAUAGAUAUGGGAAAAAAAUUAUAUCAUUUUCAGCAUGUGUGGAACGAAGAGACACCUAUUGCAGUUAGAGCAUGCUGUCAAAUCUCGUGAGAAAUAUUGUUAA
Molecule: long non-coding RNA, 822 nt
Organism: Neodiprion fabricii
Lineage: Eukaryota; Metazoa; Arthropoda; Insecta; Hymenoptera; Diprionidae
Exons: 2
Source: RefSeq, a predicted model, not a curated record